AUUGAACGCUGGCGGCAGGCCUAACACAUGCAAGUCGAGCGGAUGAAGGGAGCUUGCUCCUGGAUUCAGCGGCGGACGGGUGAGUAAUGCCUAGGAAUCUGCCUGGUAGUGGGGGAUAACGUCCGGAAACGGGCGCUAAUACCGCAUACGUCCUGAGGGAGAAAGUGGGGGAUCUUCGGACCUCACGCUAUCAGAUGAGCCUAGGUCGGAUUAGCUAGUUGGUGGGGUAAAGGCCUACCAAGGCGACGAUCCGUAACUGGUCUGAGAGGAUGGUCAGUCACACUGGAACUGAGACACGGUCCAGACUCCUACGGGAGGCAGCAGUGGGGAAUAUUGGACGAUGGGCGAAAGCCUGAUCCAGCCAUGCCGCGUGUGUGAAGAAGGUCUUCGGAUUGUAAAGCACUUUAAGUUGGGAGGAAGGGCAGUAAGUUAAUACCUUGCUGUUUUGACGUUACCAACAGAAUAAGCACCGGCUAACUUCGUG
Molecule: ribosomal RNA, 484 nt
Filed under: uncultured bacterium
Lineage: Bacteria
Description: partial 16S ribosomal RNA
Rfam family: Bacterial small subunit ribosomal RNA
Source: RNAcentral